AACAAUAGAAUUGGUUUCUCAAGGGUGGUCGGCUCACUCCCGCAGCAAAGGGGGUGGUGCCGUAUGACAGUGUUCGAAUCAUUAAUGUUUGCAAUCGCCUUCACGGGUUUAAUCGUAAGCAUUCUGUCAUUUAACCAAAAAAAAUAAUCCACCCUUGAGUUGACGGCUCUGGUGGAUUAUUGUGUUCAUCCAAUAGCUGACCCCCUUAAAGGGACCGUUCUAUUGUGUUGGCCGGGCAUGCUGCGAACAUGGCCG
Molecule: small RNA, 255 nt
Organism: Bacillus sp. B-jedd
Lineage: Bacteria; Bacillati; Bacillota; Bacilli; Caryophanales; Bacillaceae
Rfam family: BsrG
About the family: bsrE, bsrG and bsrH pair through intermolecular interactions with antisense sRNAs. SR4 interaction with the 3'UTR of bsrG RNA promotes bsrG degradation and inhibits its translation.
Source: Rfam